Molecule: long non-coding RNA, 917 nt
Organism: Orbicella faveolata
Lineage: Eukaryota; Metazoa; Cnidaria; Anthozoa; Scleractinia; Merulinidae
Source: RefSeq, a predicted model, not a curated record
UCUUGCUUGCUCCAAGCUUCGUUCUUCGUUCGUUUCUGUGUCUGCUAAGAAGCGAAACUUUGCUACGCAAAGCUGGUAAAACAAAAGACUGGUGUAACUUAAGGAAGACAGAUAUGUUCAAAAGCGAAUUCUGGAUACUGUGACCGUAACAACUGAUAUAUCCAGAAUAAACUGACUCGAAGGUUUGUUACAUAAAGAGGCGAAAAGCGGUAACUCAAUUCAGUGAUGUACGUAGUGGCGAUGAUCUUAAGGUGCAAAACUCUAAACCAACGCAUGAAGCUUGUGCACUACAUUCAACUGACGGCUGACUGUUGGCGCAAUGAUAGAAUGACAUCGCUCUGUUAAAUCGCCAUUAUAGACGCUGUUUAAUGAAACUGCUGCCGGGCUCUCUACGUUGAAUUUUUUCUUUGCGUAUCCACGCAAACACAAUUAAUAAAGAAUGUGAAAGUUCCAUGGAUAAAUUCUUUUGGCUAGCAGUUGACGCGCGCUUUAAAAAGGGGUCUAAGUCCUUCAGCGAAAAACGUUUGCGGUCUCAGACACACACAAAAAACGAAAUCUUUUGGCGGAAAAAAGAUCGCAGUUUAAGACGGAAUUUUCGUGGUCGCGGAGCAAGUUGGGAAAAAAGUCUGCGCUUUUUGAUGGAGUCUAGAAAUUUGUCAAAAAUAAACUAAGUCUUUUGGCGGCAAAAAAUUCUGCGCUUUUAGAUGGAGUCUAGAAAUUUGCCAAAAAUAAACUGUCUUUUGGCGGGAAAAAAAUCUGUGCAGUUUGCAGUCCGAUUUAGCCCAUCAAAAGCCAGCCUUUAUUUUGACUUAUUACUAGACCCUGUUUGAAAGUGCAGAACGUUUUUCCGCGUCGGCAACCCUGUAUAGUCAAAAACUAGUAAAAGAGAUAGCCUACAUUUCGACUAGUUUCUAGGC